RNAcentral lists this ribosomal RNA (478 nucleotides) under uncultured bacterium. RNAcentral's name for it is "partial 16S ribosomal RNA". It matches the Rfam family "Bacterial small subunit ribosomal RNA", at positions 28 to 506 of the family's 1533-position model. The record is from RNAcentral.
GAUGAACGCUAGCGGGAGGCCUAACACAUGCAAGCCGAGCGGUAUUGUUUCUUCGGAAAUGAGAGAGCGGCGUACGGGUGCGUAACACGUGUGCAACCUGCCUUUAUCUGGGGGAUAGCCUUUCGAAAGGAAGAUUAAUACUCCAUAAUAUAUUGAACGGCAUCGUUUAAUAUUGAAAGCUCCGGCGGAUAGAGAUGGGCACGCGCAAGAUUAGCUAGUUGGUGAGGUAACGGCUCACCAAGGCGAUGAUCUUUAGGGGGCCUGAGAGGGUGAUCCCCCACACUGGUACUGAGACACGGACCAGACUCCUACGGGAGGCAGCAGGGAGGAAUAUUGGUCAAUGGGUGCAAGCCUGAACCAGCCCUCCCGGGUGAAGGACGACUGCCCUAUGGGUUUUAAACUUCUUUUUUAUAGGGAUAAACCUCCCCUCGUGAGGGUAGCUGAAGGUAUUAAACGAAUAAGCACCGGCUAACUCCGU